RNAcentral lists this ribosomal RNA (813 nucleotides) under uncultured bacterium SY6-52. RNAcentral's name for it is "bacterial SSU rRNA". It matches the Rfam family "Bacterial small subunit ribosomal RNA", at positions 95 to 929 of the family's 1533-position model. The record is from RNAcentral.
GUGGCGAAAGGGUGAGGAAUAGAUAGGAACGUACCUUGUACUCUGGGAUAGCGUCCCGAAAGGGGCAGUAAUACCAGAUGAUAUGGUUUACCAUUAAAGAUUUAUCGGUAUAAGAGCGGCCUAUCUCCUAUCAGCUUGUUGGUGAGGUAAUGGCUUACCAAGGCUACGACGGGUAGCGGGACUGAGAGGUUGGCCCGCCACAUCGGGACUGAGACACUGCCCGGACCUCCACGGAGGGCUGCAGUAACGAAUAUUGGGUAAUGGGCGAAAGCCUGACCCAGCAAUGCCGCGUAUAGGAUGAAGCCCCUCGGGGUGUAAACUAUUGUCAGGUCCUAGAAAGUUUUCGAAUUGAUCAGGACCAGAGGAAGCAACGGCUAACUUCGUGCCAGCAGCCGCGGUAAUACGAAGGUUGCGAGCGUUAUUCGGAAUCACUGGGCUUAAAGCGCAUGUAGGCGGAAUUACAAGUGUCAUGUGAAAUCCCUCGGCUUAACCCGAGGACUUGCGAGGCAAACUGUAAUUCUUGAGGCAAGUAGGAGCGGGUGGAAUUCUUGGUGGGAGCGGUGGAAUGCGUAGAUAUCAAGAGGAACGCCAGUGGUGAAGACGACCCGCUGGGCUUGUACUGACGCUGANAUGCGAAAGCGUGGGGAGCAAACAGGAUUAGAUACCCUGGUAGUCCACGCCGUAAACGAUGUCUACUANGUGGNGGGAAGCUACUGACCUGUCACCNACCGAANCAAAAGUGUUAANUNNACCCCCUGGGNAAGUACCGGCCCAAGGGUUAAACUCAAANGAAUUGACNGGGGCUCACNCAAA